GAUGAAGAACGUAGCGAAAUGCGAUAAGUAGUGUGAAUUGCAGAAUUCAGUGAAUCAUCGAAUCUUUGAACGCACAUUGCGCCCCUUGGUAUUCCAUGGGGCAUGCCUGUUCGAGCGUCAUUUGUACCUUCAAGCUCUGCUUGGUGUUGGGUGUUUGUCUCGCCUCUGCGUGUAGACUCGCCUCAAAACAAUUGGCAGCCGGCGUAUUGAUUUCGGAGCGCAGUACAUCUCGCGCUUUGCACUCAUAACGACGACGUCCAAAAGUACAUUUUUGCACUCUUGACCUCGGAUCAGGUAGGGAUACCCGCUGAACUUAAGCAUAUCAAUAAGCGGAGGA
Molecule: unclassified non-coding RNA, 337 nt
Filed under: soil metagenome
Description: partial contains 5.8S ribosomal RNA, internal transcribed spacer 2, and large subunit ribosomal RNA
Rfam family: 5.8S ribosomal RNA (bases 1-120)
Source: RNAcentral